GUGCUCGCUUCGGCAGCACAUAUACUGAAACUCGAACGAUACAGAGAAGAUUAGCAGGCCCCUGUGCAAGGAUGGCACGCAAAUAUGUGAAGCGUUCCAUAUAAAA
Molecule: non-coding RNA, 106 nt
Organism: Pongo abelii (Sumatran orangutan)
Lineage: Eukaryota; Metazoa; Chordata; Mammalia; Primates; Hominidae
Source: Rfam